Molecule: ribosomal RNA, 434 nt
Filed under: uncultured Escherichia sp.
Lineage: Bacteria; Pseudomonadati; Pseudomonadota; Gammaproteobacteria; Enterobacterales; Enterobacteriaceae
Description: bacterial SSU rRNA
Rfam family: Bacterial small subunit ribosomal RNA
Source: RNAcentral
AACGCGAAGAACCUUACCUGGUCUUGACAUCCACGGAAGUUUUCAGAGAUGAGAAUGUGCCUUCGGGAACCGUGAGACAGGUGCUGCAUGGCUGUCGUCAGCUCGUGUUGUGAAAUGUUGGGUUAAGUCCCGCAACGAGCGCAACCCUUAUCCUUUGUUGCCAGCGGUCCGGCCGGGAACUCAAAGGAGACUGCCAGUGAUAAACUGGAGGAAGGUGGGGAUGACGUCAAGUCAUCAUGGCCCUUACGACCGGGGCUACACACGUGCUACAAUGGCGCAUACAAAGAGAAGCGACCUCGCGAGAGCAAGCGGACCUCAUAAAGUGCGUCGUAGUCCGGAUUGGAGUCUGCAACUCGACUCCAUGAAGUCGGAAUCGCUAGUAAUCGUGGAUCAGAAUGCCACGGUGAAUACGUUCCCGGGUCUUGUACACACCG